GGGGAUGUUAGGUUUCGACAAAUUGUCCUUUCAAAACAAGCAAGUCGAGUAAAUGGCAAAUUCUCGUAAAAAAAUUUGCCAAAAGUUAUAAGUGUAAACUUCAUAACAAAAGCAAAGGUUGCUUUUGCUAACGCAUUUUCAACCAAUUUUGCUUACGCUUUAGCCUAAACCUUUUCGGUUAGCGCUUUAGCCAUCGGCUCGUUUAAUCCUGAUAAACGAGAACCCGGUGUUAUAUUUCAGGAUAGCACUUCUUGUUUUUUUCCGAACAAUUUUUGCAAAAACAAAUCGGAAAUAAAUUGGAAAGUCUUUCGUUUAUUUUUUGCUUUCCAAUUGAAAAAUUUCAAAUAAACUAAACUUGUAGUUUGUUUUAAUGGAACAAUUUUGGACAUGGGUUCAAUUCCCAUCAUCUCCACCA
Molecule: transfer-messenger RNA, 415 nt
Filed under: Candidatus Moranbacteria bacterium CG_4_8_14_3_um_filter_34_16
Lineage: Bacteria; Candidatus Moraniibacteriota
Also listed under: 2 other names
Rfam family: transfer-messenger RNA
About the family: Bacterial tmRNA, also known as 10Sa RNA or SsrA, is named for its dual tRNA and mRNA-like properties. Its role is to liberate the mRNA from a stalled ribosome.
Source: RNAcentral